GUCUACCGCAUACCACCCUGAAUACACCUGAUUUCAUCUCAUCUCAGAAGAUAAGCAGGGUUGGGCCUCCUUAGUACUUGGAUGGGAGAAACCAAGAUGUAGGCA
Ribosomal RNA from Mustela putorius furo (domestic ferret), 105 nucleotides. The record is from Ensembl. Lineage: Eukaryota; Metazoa; Chordata; Mammalia; Carnivora; Mustelidae.